Long non-coding RNA from Lutzomyia longipalpis, 902 nucleotides. RefSeq lists it as uncharacterized. Lineage: Eukaryota; Metazoa; Arthropoda; Insecta; Diptera; Psychodidae. The record is from RefSeq and is a predicted model, not a curated record. The transcript has 3 exons.
GAUGAUUUUGUUUUUAUUUUAUGGAAAUUGUGCUCAAGAAAGUGAAAAACGGCAAAGCAUUGAAUUUUUAUUCAAUGCAAUGCUACCUUUUAUUCGAGUGACGUGAAGGAAAAUCGUUCAUUUUUUCCAAGGAAUUUGAUCACCCCAGAUGGACUGGAGGAAAGACAGCUCGCAAGGAUUUCAAGAGGAACUAUUCGUGGUAUUAACAAAAGUUACGCUCAGACCUCAUCGACCUGGCCAUCACUUAAGUCGACAAGACUACAAGUUUUCUUGAAGGAAAUAGUCCAGGAUCUGAAGCUAGAAUCCGGCUGAACAACAUUGGAAAACAUAAAUGCGACAUAAAAGCCGGGAAUCCCUAUCACGCACAAUCAGUUUAGCAGAAAGUAAAUUGAGGCUCAUGUCGGGAUAACUCAACUAUUCAUCUUCCUGUGCGGGGAUUCAGAGGUUCUCCUUAAGCUCAUCUGCUCACCAAACCCACAGGAGAUUUUAAAGCAGUAGCUGAACAGCAAUUUGCAGUCAAGGAUCUUCCAGAGUAUAAUGGAUCGCUGAUCCUCCUUUUAUCUCAGCUUUGGAUUUGGACUUUUUGCCGCAAUUUAUGGCCCGGAAUAGAUGACGAGUGAAGACAUCAAUACAGAAGGAAAACUAUCAAUUUGAUUUUCUAUGUUCAAAGUAUUAUUUAUUUUAGUUUAUGUUUUACAAAAAUACUCUAUUAACAAUUUUUUUUUAAAUUUAAUAAAGAAUAAAAUUUAAUAAAGAGUGAAUUUUCUUUAUUCAUGAAGAUUUUUCUUUGAUUUUUCACUGGCAGGAAAUUUUUAAACUCGAGAGAACAAUUUCUUUGGCAUUGUUGGAGAUUGCAGGAUCCUCGGAGCUGAGAUUGGGAAGGAAUUGUGUCCCGUGACAUA